Long non-coding RNA from Ostrinia nubilalis (European corn borer), 564 nucleotides. RefSeq lists it as uncharacterized. The record is from RefSeq and is a predicted model, not a curated record. Lineage: Eukaryota; Metazoa; Arthropoda; Insecta; Lepidoptera; Crambidae. The transcript has 3 exons.
AGGUGGCGCAAGGUGGCGUGACGAGUUAUUUUUGUUUACUUGUCAUUUGUUAAAUCAUUAUUUAUUUUCGAACAAGCUGAUUAUUGACAAUUUGUUUAUAAAAAUGUCCGUGAAAAACGCUGUGCAAUCUAAUUUCCAUAACUUUUUUACUGAAGGAUGUAUUGAAUAUAUUUACGAAGAUGAGCAGUGUGUGGCCUUUGACGCAACUAAAAAUCAGCAGGCGCCAACUCAUUUUCUUGUAGUCCCCAAGAAAGUGAUACCAAGAUUGUCUUUAGCUUCACCUGAGGAUGAAAAAAUAUUAGGUCAUCUGUUAAUAGUAGUUAAGAAUAUCGCAAAACAAAAAGGACUAGCAGGAUAUCAUGUAGUCGUUGAUGAAGAUCACAGGACAGUGAGGUUCAACGGAAUCCAUCUUUUUGGCAGGUCUCUCCUUCACAUGAUGUGGCCUACAGGGCCUGGCUGUAGGCUAUAAGCGAGCAUCAAGCGGGAUACUAGGAUAUAAAUAAAUAAGCUUAAGAUUUAAAUAUAAGGCACAGUAUUUAAAUAAAUGAUAGGUAUUAUUCUAAA